AAAAAGAUAAGCUAACUAAGCUAAUAGGUUCAUACCCUAUAUAUAGGGGUAUAACCCCCUUCUUUUUA
Molecule: transfer RNA, 68 nt
Filed under: Zorka agnesae
Lineage: Eukaryota; Metazoa; Arthropoda; Insecta; Hemiptera; Cicadellidae
Description: tRNA-Met
Source: RNAcentral